This 75-nucleotide transfer RNA is filed under the name Tylonycteris fulvida. RNAcentral's name for it is "tRNA-Leu". It matches the Rfam family "tRNA". Rfam says of the family: Transfer RNA (tRNA) molecules are approximately 80 nucleotides in length. Their secondary structure includes four short double-helical elements and three loops (D, anti-codon, and T loops). The record is from RNAcentral. Lineage: Eukaryota; Metazoa; Chordata; Mammalia; Chiroptera; Vespertilionidae.
AUUAAAGUGGCAGAGGCCGGUAAUUGCAUAAAACUUAAGUUUUUAAGUCCAAAGGUUCAAUUCCUUUCUUUAAUA